This is a non-coding RNA of Pimephales promelas (fathead minnow), 598 nucleotides long. NCBI's taxonomy places the organism in Eukaryota, Metazoa, Chordata, Actinopteri, Cypriniformes, Leuciscidae. The record is from RefSeq and is a predicted model, not a curated record.
AGACAAUUGUCGUUAUUUUAUUUCCAUACCGUUGUUUCUGGGUACAUUUUUAAGUAUAUUUCCAAAUGGCAUACUUACAGCACGAUUAAACAAGGACGAGCGGCAGCUCUUCCUCGUCAACUCUCCCCAACCACGAGUCGACAUUGACAACAAACACACGAGAGUCUACCGUUACAACCAUGGUUACAACCUCUUUUAAAGUCUAUGGUUUCAACCCACAGUGGAGAUAAACUUUCUUCCGGGAAACACAAACGGUGGUGACUGUCAGUUUAGUUCACUUAAAAAAUAUGCUAUGAAAGUGAAUGGCGAUGAGGCUGACACACUACUACUGCCUAAAAGAAAUUCAUAACAGUGCGAUGCAGCAGAUCACGACUGCAACUAUAAUCAACAGAGAUCCGGAAGCAGCAGCAGCAGAGAUCAACACUAUCAGAGACACUGGAGGAGGAGAAAGUGUGUCUGUGUAAUUAUAAAGAAAGAAGUGAAUGCACCAGAAGACAGAGAUCAGACUGAAGCUGGAUCAUCAGACUGGAUCUCUGACCAUCACAAACACCAGAAUCACAGACUGUGGACUCUAUAAACUACAGAUCAUCAGAAUUAU